Molecule: ribosomal RNA, 38 nt
Filed under: Fusarium redolens
Lineage: Eukaryota; Fungi; Ascomycota; Sordariomycetes; Hypocreales; Nectriaceae
Description: partial 28S ribosomal RNA
Source: RNAcentral
GAUCAGGUAGGAUACCCGCUGAACUUAAGCAUAUCAUU